UAAGGAAUAUUGGUCAAUGGACGAAAGUCUGAACCAGCCAUGCCGCGUGGAGGAUGAAGGUCCUCUGGAUUGUAAACUUCUUUUAUCUGGGACGAAAAAGGGUCUUUCUAGACCAACUGACGGUACCAGAUGAAUAAGCACCGGCUAACUCCGUGCCAGCAGCCGCGGUAAUACGGAGGGUGCAAGCGUUAUCCGGAUUCACUGGGUUUAAAGGGAGCGUAGGUGGGUUGGUAAGUCAGUGGUGAAAUCUCUGAGCUUAACUCGGAAACUGCCAUUGAUACUAUCAAUCUUGAAUACCGUGGAGGUCAGCGGAAUAUGUCAUGUAGCGGUGAAAUGCUUAGAUAUGACAUAGAACACCAAUUGCGAAGGCAGCUGGCUACACGAAUAUUGACACUGAGGCUCGAAAGCGUGGGGAUCAAACAGG
RNAcentral lists this ribosomal RNA (424 nucleotides) under uncultured bacterium. RNAcentral describes it as "bacterial SSU rRNA". It matches the Rfam family "Bacterial small subunit ribosomal RNA", at positions 355 to 776 of the family's 1533-position model. The record is from RNAcentral.